RNAcentral lists this ribosomal RNA (253 nucleotides) under uncultured bacterium. RNAcentral describes it as "partial 16S ribosomal RNA". It matches the Rfam family "Bacterial small subunit ribosomal RNA", at positions 524 to 776 of the family's 1533-position model. The record is from RNAcentral.
UACGUAGGGGGCAAGCGUUGUCCGGAAUUAUUGGGCGUAAAGAGCGUGUAGGCGGUCCGGUAAGUCAGCUGUGAAAGUCAAGGGCUCAACCCUUGAAAGCCGGUUGAUACUGUCGGGCUAGAGUCCGGAAGAGGCGAGUGGAAUUCCCGGUGUAGCGGUGAAAUGCGCAGAUAUCGGGAGGAACACCAAUGGCGAAGGCAGCUCUCUGGGACGGUACUGACGCUGAGGUGCGAAAGCGUGGGGAGCAAACAGG